RNAcentral lists this unclassified non-coding RNA (417 nucleotides) under Hevea brasiliensis (rubber tree). The record is from RNAcentral. Lineage: Eukaryota; Viridiplantae; Streptophyta; Magnoliopsida; Malpighiales; Euphorbiaceae.
UCAAGCUCAGCCUUAGCACGUGCCUGUCUACGUCUCAAAAUACCAUGAAAUUGCUUUGCGUUUACAUAAACAGGUUCUUCUUCCAUUUCAAGAGGCAAAGGCAUUCUAGCAUGAUGCAAGAAUUGAGGAGGUACCAUAGCUUGUGGAGCAUAACUUAAGAUCCUGCCAUAUUGUGGAUCCAAAUAUGGAUAUGAUGUCAAAACAAUUGAGUGACCGACAAGUUCCAUUUGUGAAGUUGGUUCAAGGUAUCCGCCCAUAGCAACAGGUGCUGACAUUGGAACUUGUUUAAGAUGACGUUCUUGUCCAUUACUUCCAUCAGAUUGUGAUGCUGUAGUGAUCUGGGUAUCUUUAUUGGAGCUUGCUCCACUCUCUAAGCCAGAAUUGGCUUGUGACUGGAUAGCUCCAUCAGCAAGAGAA